UACGAAGGGGGCUAGCGUUGUUCGGAAUCACUGGGCGUAAAGCGCACGUAGGCGGAUCGUUAAGUCAGGGGUGAAAUCCUGGAGCUCAACUCCAGAACUGCCUUUGAUACUGGCGAUCUUGAGUCCGGAAGAGGUGAGUGGAACUCCUAGUGUAGAGGUGGAAUUCGUAGAUAUUAGGAAGAACACCAGUGGCGAAGGCGGCUCACUGGUCCGGUACUGACGCUGAGGUGCGAAAGCGUGGGGAGCAAACAGG
RNAcentral lists this ribosomal RNA (253 nucleotides) under uncultured bacterium. Its description in RNAcentral is "partial 16S ribosomal RNA". It matches the Rfam family "Bacterial small subunit ribosomal RNA", at positions 524 to 776 of the family's 1533-position model. The record is from RNAcentral.